This 163-nucleotide ribosomal RNA is filed under the name Eucalyptus quadricostata. RNAcentral's name for it is "5.8S ribosomal RNA". It matches the Rfam family "5.8S ribosomal RNA". From Rfam's summary of the family: 5.8S ribosomal RNA (5.8S rRNA) is a component of the large subunit of the eukaryotic ribosome. Lineage: Eukaryota; Viridiplantae; Streptophyta; Magnoliopsida; Myrtales; Myrtaceae. The record is from RNAcentral.
AUAACGACUCUCGGCAACGGAUAUCUCGGCUCUCGCAUCGAUGAAGAACGUAGCGAACUGCGAUACUUGGGUGUGAAUUGCAGAAUCCCGUGAACCAUCGAGUCUUUGAACGCAAGUUGCGCCCGAAACCUUUGGUCGAGGGCACGUUUGCCUGGGUGUCACA